Molecule: long non-coding RNA, 1896 nt
Organism: Pyrus x bretschneideri (Chinese white pear)
Lineage: Eukaryota; Viridiplantae; Streptophyta; Magnoliopsida; Rosales; Rosaceae
Exons: 3
Source: RefSeq, a predicted model, not a curated record
AACUCGGACCUCCUCAUGAGAAUUCCGGUUAUUUCUUUGGGUUUUUCUUAAUUUUUCAAUUCAUUCAUACUUUUUUUCUCAAGAAAGUAAAUAUACUACAUAUGGGUGGGAAAAGGGUAGUUAUUUAUUUACUUACUGAAAUCUGAAUGCAAACUGUUCAAAUUAUGGUUGCGGUGUUCUGGAUCAUUGAAUUAUGUAUAAAAAUCAAUCAGAACCAUGCUCAAUUUGAUAAUGUUGUUGAACAAUGUGGUCGGGUUUUUCACACAUUAUCGUAGGAUUGUGUAGUGUUAGGCACUACAAGUCUGGAUGAUGUUUUCCAUUCGUGUGAUCUGUGUUGAGAUACCGUGUAAUCCACUUGAGCACUUUGAGUGUUUUUGUAUGAAACCUAUAGUGGUUGGAGAGUUUUAUCCAUCCUUAGAAUUAGUGUCCUCGAUCAUGCUAAUUUGUUAAACACUUUCCAAUAUAAGCAAAGAAUUUUAGUGGUUUCAGGCCAAAUCAUGUGAGUUUUGACGUGAACAUGUUUUGUUACACUACUUUCCAUGUAAUUCAGAAGAUGAAAACACGGAGAAUCUGUAUAUCAUGGUUAAGUAUUAUGAAUAAAUUUUGACAUUCCAAAAGAUUGCUGCAUAUUCAUUUCAGAACUUCAUAACCUUUCUUCUUAGUAAAAUGAAUUAACCAAGAUUGUUUUUUCUUUAUUAUUUGGUCUAUUUGUUAAUUGUUGAGUGACUAAGUAUUACUUACCAAUUACAACAGAUCAUUGCACUUUCAAUUACUGGAGGUUUGAAUGUUGUGUUAUGGUGUAUAUAUCUCUAUAAUCAUCAUAACGAAGAUGGGGGAUGACGUCUGCAUAUUGAGGGGCCAAAUACCAUCUCUGCUCUCUUUGAUCUCUGCUUCGCGUUCUUCGAUUUUUGCUUCGUGAUCUCUUCCAUCUCUGCUUUCUCCGUGAUUUCUUCUUUUCUGAUCGACUUCUAUUCGAAUUGAAAACCUUCUAGAGCUCUCUUCUCCAAAUUACAGCAGCAAUUUUGCUCCAAAUCUUUCCAAUUGAAAAAACCCACAUCAUUAUCAUCUAUUCCUCAUCACCACGGAGCCGAAGGGUUCUUCAACAUUAAGAUUCAGAUACCCGAGGUUGGUUCAAGGAUUUUGCCUCUGAACUCAAUUCAGGUACGCAUGGUCUCUCUGUACUUUGAUUCUCUCAUUAGCUCUUCGCUUCGGCACCGACAAAGUCUCGAACAUGAAAUUAUUGAAUUAGUUGGCAUGUUUUUUUCCACUACCUGAGCAACUGACGGAAAUCUAGGCCUGCCAUUUGACUAAUUGACUUCAAAUCUUAUCAAACAUCCUCAAUUUUUAUUGAGAUUUUUAGUUGAUCUGAAAAACCUGACAAAAAUCUUUACAAUUACGAUAUGUUGUUUGACGGAGAUCUUUCAGCUCAAUCUCCUCCCUUCAUCUGUUUCUUCUGCUCUCUUUAUUGAUCUCUCAAACCUGAAAGGACCAACAAUAUGAAUACAAACAGAGUCAAACAGAGCCCACAUAUGCCAAACACCAACAACCCCUCACAUCCUUCACCCCAAAACACACAGAAAGAAAAAGGAAGAAGGAACGUACGUGUUCUCUUUUCUUUUCCUCCUCAAAGUCACCAUGUUUUCGCUUUCGAGCGACCUCUUUCCCAUCAAAGUGCACCUAAGUGAGAAAGAAAAAUAAAGAUAUUGAAAUAUGCUUAUUCGUUAUUAACAAAGUUGAAAGAGACUGCAAUAUACCAUAUGGCUUCAGCAAAUGCUUGAGCUCACCACACAUGUAUGGAAUUAGUGCAUAUAAUUGAAGUAGAUAUGAAUUGUAUUUUUAGCAUUUGAAUUAUCAGCCAUUCGUAAUGAGAGGAGUUAACACGUUUAGAUGCCAAUA